Molecule: long non-coding RNA, 1027 nt
Filed under: Homo sapiens (human)
Lineage: Eukaryota; Metazoa; Chordata; Mammalia; Primates; Hominidae
Description: HSALNT0317841
Source: RNAcentral
GCGACCCGGGCGACCCGGUCGCCCGUGCCCGGCUGCCACUGACCGCUCCAACGCCGCCAGGGACGACCCGCCAGCUGCCUCCGGAGCCGAGCAGGCCCCGAACCUUCCCAUUCCUAGAUUUCCAGCCGCACAACAGCCGCGGUGCCCCUGGCUCGACGCAGCUGGCCGGAGGCGCGGAGCUGGUCGUUCGUCCCGCCCGCCGUUCCGCGCCCCUCUCCCGGCUCUUGUUUCCUCGCCUCUUAACGAGGCCUUUGUGAGGAAGGUUGCUGGGCCUUGGGACUCUGACGAUCGGCUGGAAACCAGGCCUGGCCCUGUUUCAGCAUCCCCGCGUGCCAAGCCCUGGGCCGGCGUGCGGGUCCCUGCCCCUGCGAGGAAGCUGGGACUUUUGCAGGCCUGGGUGGAGACGUGUACAUAACAGAGGAAGAGUGUGGAGGAUUGGAGGACUCAGGGCAGCACGGCAGAGUAGAGAUGGAGUUCCAUCAUGUUGGCCAGGCUGGUCUCGAGCUCCUGACCUCAGGUGAUCCACCCUCCUUGGCCUCCAAAAGUGCUGGGAUUACUGGUGUGAGCCACCUCGCCCGGCCACCUUACAGUGAGUUUCUAACCUCGAAAAUGGAGUCAAAUAACGGAAUGACAAGGCAGAUAGAAACCAGAGCAUUAACGUUUUUGUGUUGCAUUUACAAACAAUAUGUGUUUGCUAUUUUUCGUAAUUGUAAGGAAAUCUGGCAUGGUAGAGUAUCUGAUAGAUAAAUGUAAUUCUCAUGUAAAAUAUCUAAGUAUUUGUGUUUUUUGUUUGUUUGUUUGUUUGUUUUGAGACGGAGUCUCGCUCUGUCGCCCAGGCUGGAGUGCAGUGGCGCGAUCUCGGCUCACUGCAAGCUCCGCAUCCCGGGUUCACGCCAUUCUCCUGCCUCAGCCUCCCAAGUAGCUGGGACUACAGGCGCCCGCCACCACGCCUGGCUAAUUUUUUUUUUUUUGUAUUUUUUAGUAGAGACGGGGUUUCACCGUGUUAGCCAGGAUGGUCUUGAUCUCC